UAGGAUCAGUCUAUGAUUGGGGGAGGCAAGAGAAGAGUGAAUGUUUAUGAUUUAGGAUCAGUCUCUGAUUAGGGGAGAGGGGAGAGCAGUGAAUUUUUAUGAUUUAGGAUCAGUCUCUGAUUAGCAGAGGGGGAGAACAGCAAAUGUUUAUGAUCAGUCUGUGUUUGGGGAGAACAGCGAAUGUUUAUGGUUAGGAUCAGUCUCUGAUUGGGGAAGGGGGAGAACAGUGAAUGUUUAUGAUUUAGGAUCAGUCUUUGAUUGGGGGAGGGCGGAGAACAGUGAAUGUUUAUGAUCAGUCUGUGUUUGGGAGGGGGGAGAAGAGUGAAUGUUUAUGAUUUAGGAUCAGUUGCUGAUUGGGGAAAGGGGGAGAACAGUGAAUGUUUAUGGUUCAGAUCAGUCUCUGAUUGGGGAGGGAGGGGAACAGCGAAUGUUUAUGGUUAGGAUCAGUCUGUGUUUGGGGGACGGGGAGAACAGUGAAUGUUUAUGAGUUAGGAUCAUUCUCUGAUUGGCGGAGGGGGUAGAACAGUGAAUGUUAAUUAUCAGUCUCUGAUUGGGGGAAGGGGGAGAACAGUGAAUGUUUAAGGUUCAGAUCAGUCUCUGAUUGGGGGAGAGAGGGGGACAUUUAAUGUUUAUGGUUUAGGAUCAGUCUCUGAUUGGGGGAGUGGAGAGAACAGCAAAUGUUUAUGAUUUAGGAUCAGUCUGUGGUUGGGGGAGGGCGGAUAACAGCGAAUGUUUAUCGUUUAGGAUCAGUUUGGGGAGAACUGUGAAUGGUUAUGAUUUAGGAUCAGUCUGUGUUUUGGGGAGAACAGUGAAU
Non-coding RNA from Pelobates cultripes (western spadefoot toad), 814 nucleotides. Lineage: Eukaryota; Metazoa; Chordata; Amphibia; Anura; Pelobatidae. The record is from the annotation of a GenBank genome assembly.